Molecule: long non-coding RNA, 291 nt
Filed under: Nicotiana benthamiana
Lineage: Eukaryota; Viridiplantae; Streptophyta; Magnoliopsida; Solanales; Solanaceae
Description: long non-coding RNA (NBEN_LNC029007)
Source: RNAcentral
AAACACCGGCUAUAUUUCAACUACCCGACUAAAAACUGAUUAGUCCAUGUUGUUUUUCCAUGCAGGUUGGAGUCGUAGUUGAACAUAGGGCUUAUUUCUUGAUGGGCUUGGGCUGCGAAUAAGAAUUUACCUCUUAUUAUAGUAUGUGCUUCUCGGAGGUAAGCUACAUUAUAGGCUAUCACCUAUAGACUUUGGCAUAAUGGUAAGCACUUGAAUUAAGCGUUCUUUGAUAUUACAGUUCUUACGAAUUGAGAAGCUAAUAGGUACUUCCUCAAUAAGCCAAUCUGGAAG